GGCGGGGCUGUAGCGCUCGGCAGCAGGGCCUGGAGGACAGCGGUGGCAGCGGUGACGAGCGGCACCGACAGGCUGUGCGGGACGCGGACGCCGGGACACGGGAGCACAGAGGUUGACUCUUCACCACACUGAAACCAUUAGGAAAAAUCCUUGUGGUUAACAGCAGAGGCUUCAGAGUGUGUAACCUGUACUCAGGCCUAGAAAUUAUUUUAAAUGGCGACUGAUACGUCUCAAGGUGAACUCGUCCAUCCUAAGGCACUCCCACUUAUAGUAGGAGCUCAGCUGAUCCACGCAGACAAGUUAGGUGAGAAGGUAGAAGAUAGCACCAUGCCGAUUAGAAGAGCUGUUAACUCUACCCGGGAAACACCACCCAAAAGCAAGCCUGCCGAAGGGGAGGAAGAAAAGCCAGAACCAGAUAUAAGUUCAGAAGAAUCUGUCUCCACUGUAGAAGAACAGGAGAAUGAAAUUCCACCUGCUACAGCUAGUGAGACGGAACAACCCAAAGGCGAGCCUGAGACUGAAGAGAAAGAAGAAAACACGUCUUCUGAGGAAGCCAAGAAGGAUGAGAAAGAUCAGACUAAAGAAAAGGAGAAGAAAGUGAAAAAAACGAUACCGUCCUGGGCUACCCUUUCUGCCAGCCAGCUAGCCAGGGCCCAGAAACAAACACCGAUGGCUUCCUCACCACGUCCCAAGAUGGAUGCGAUCCUAACUGAGGCCAUUAAGGCAUGCUUCCAGAAGAGUGGUGCAUCAGUGGUUGCUAUUCGAAAAUACAUCAUCCAUAAGUACCCUUCUCUGGAGCUGGAGAGGAGGGGCUAUCUCCUUAAACAAGCACUGAAAAGAGAGUUAAACAGAGGAGUCAUCAAACAGGUAAAAGGAAAAGGUGCAUCUGGAAGUUUUGUUGUGGUACAAAAAUCAAGAAAAACACCUCAGAAAUCUAGAAACAGAAAGAAGAGGAGUUCUGCAGUGGAUCCAGAACCACAAGUAAAAUUGGAGGAUGUCCUCCCAUUGGCCUUCACUCGCCUUUGUGAACCUAAAGAGGCUUCCUACAGUCUCAUCAGGAAAUAUGUGUCUCAGUAUUACCCCAAGCUUAGAGUGGACAUCAGGCCCCAGCUGUUGAAGAAUGCUCUACAGAGAGCAGUAGAAAGAGGCCAGUUAGAACAAAUAACUGGCAAAGGUGCUUCGGGGACAUUCCAGCUGAAGAAGUCAGGGGAGAAGCCCCUGCUUGGUGGAAGCCUGAUGGAAUAUGCAAUCUUAUCUGCCAUUGCUGCCAUGAAUGAGCCGAAGACCUGCUCCACAACUGCUCUGAAGAAGUAUGUCCUAGAGAACCACCCAGGGACCAAUUCUAACUAUCAAAUGCAUUUGCUGAAGAAAACUUUGCAGAAGUGCGAAAAGAAUGGGUGGAUGGAGCAGAUCUCUGGUAAGGGAUUCAGUGGCACCUUCCAGCUCUGUUUUCCCUAUUACCCCAGCCCAGGAGUUCUAUUUCCAAAGAAAGAGCCAGAUGGUUCUGAGGAUGAGGAUGAGGAUGAAGAUGAGGAUGAGUCAUCAGAAGAAGACUCUGAGGAUGAGGAGCCUCCACCUAAGAGAAGGUUGCAGAAGAAAACACCAGCCAAGUCCCCAGGGAAGGCUGUAUCUAUGAAGCAGAGAGGGUCCAAGCCUGCACCUAAAGUCCCAGCUGCUCCACGCGGGAAAGCUAGACCUCUGCCCAAGAAAACACCUGCUAAGGCCAAAACUCCUGCCAAGAAAGCCAGACCCUCACCCUCAGUUAUCAAGAAACCUAGUGGGAGCUCCUCAAAAAAGCCUACAGCCAAUGUAAGAAAGGAAGUAAAAUUGCCUGGCAAGGGCAAAUCUACCAUGAAGAAGUCUUUCAAGGCAAAAAAGUAAAUUUUAUAGGAAAAAGUAUCAUGAUGAAAUUCAAAAUCUAAAUAUUUUAUAAGAUUUCAGAUUCAUCUGUGGGUCGUCGUCCCCCCUUCCAUGGCACUUUUGAUAUCAAGUAAGUGUCUUCCUUUUUGAAAUAGUAAAAAGAAAAGGAAAAAAAAAAAAGCAAAUGAAGCCCUACUACCUAACCCUUUUUAAUUUGUAUUUUGUUUUAGUAUUGUGAAGUUGUGUUAAAUAGCACUAGCUUUCUACUUGAGAAAUACCAGUUUCUGGUUAUCAUUUAUCUUCCCCGUGGCACUUGACAUUUUAAUUGUCUUAAACUUUCUGGUGUGCAUCUUCUGGCCCCUCUAGUGCUGCCAGAGCAAAAGUGUUGUUUUAUAUUCAUUCCACUCGCACUGUCUCCUGGGAUCUCUUCUGCAGCUUCAGUGUGUCUGGGAUAUGGACUUGAGAAAGUGACUUGGAUUCGAUCAUAAUCAUGUGUGGUCCCAUCAUGAGCUCAUUGGAAUUGGUGUUGCAUGUAGGCAAUCUUUCCUGUUGUAAAUCUUCCUUUUUUUAUGUACAUAUAUUUUGAAAAAUAUGAAUAAACAUGAAGUUUUAAAAGCU
Non-coding RNA from Castor canadensis (American beaver), 2478 nucleotides. Lineage: Eukaryota; Metazoa; Chordata; Mammalia; Rodentia; Castoridae. The record is from RefSeq and is a predicted model, not a curated record.